RNAcentral lists this ribosomal RNA (468 nucleotides) under uncultured bacterium. Its description in RNAcentral is "partial 16S ribosomal RNA". It matches the Rfam family "Bacterial small subunit ribosomal RNA", at positions 28 to 507 of the family's 1533-position model. The record is from RNAcentral.
GAUGAACGCUGGCGGCGUGCUUAACACAUGCAAGUCGAACGGAAAGGCCCUGCGCUUGUGGGGUGCACGAGUGGCGAACGGGUGAGAAACACGUGAGUAACAUGCACUUGACUUAGGGAUAACAUCAGGAAACUGGGGAUAAUAUCGGAUAGGAGAUCCUGAAGCAUGGGGGGGGAUGGAAAGAUACGGCGGUUGGGGAUGGACUCGCGGCUUAUCCGCUGGUUGGUGUGGUAGGGGCGUACAAAGGCUGUGAAGGGUAGCCGGCCUGGGAGGGUGACCGGCCACAUGGGGCCUGCGAUACGGCCCAGACGCCUACGGGCGGCAGCAGUGGGGAAUAUUGCACAGUGGGCGGACGCCUGUUGCAGCAGCGCCGCGAUCGGGAUGCCGUCCUUCUGGUUGUAAACCGCUUUCUCCUGUGACGAAGCGGUAGUGACGGUAAUGGGUAAAGAAGCACCGGCUAACUACGUG